This 253-nucleotide ribosomal RNA is filed under the name uncultured bacterium. RNAcentral's name for it is "partial 16S ribosomal RNA". It matches the Rfam family "Bacterial small subunit ribosomal RNA", at positions 524 to 776 of the family's 1533-position model. The record is from RNAcentral.
UACAGAGACUGCGAGCGUUGUUCGGAAUUACUGGGCGUAAAGGGCGCGUAGGCGGCCUGCUAAGUCGAACGUGAAAUCCCCGGGCUCAACCCGGGAACUGCGUCCGAUACUGGCAGGCUUGAAUCCGGGAGAGGGAUGCGGAAUUCCAGGUGUAGCGGUGAAAUGCGUAGAUAUCUGGAGGAACACCGGUGGCGAAGGCGGCAUCCUGGACCGGCAUUGACGCUGAGGCGCGAAAGCCAGGGGAGCAAACGGG